UAUUAAAAAAAUUAUUUAUUUGUACAGUUAAAAAUUAACGUAAUUGAUGGAAUAAUUAGAUAGUGACAUGUGACGUAUUAUAUAUACUUUAUGCUAACAACCAAAAACCGAUUUUUAACAGUAUUAAUGAAUGAAAUUUUUAACA
RNAcentral lists this microRNA precursor (145 nucleotides) under Gossypium hirsutum (cotton). RNAcentral describes it as "MIR7502 microRNA precursor family". It matches the Rfam family "MIR7502 microRNA precursor family". Lineage: Eukaryota; Viridiplantae; Streptophyta; Magnoliopsida; Malvales; Malvaceae. The record is from Rfam by way of RNAcentral.